GAAACUGUGUCCCGGGCCGCCGGUUCGUCGCUCGCGACGCCAACUGGCGCGCACGCGGGACGUCCAGCCGGUACCGCUAACCCGCCGACGGUGCUCUUGACCGAGUGUCCAGGCGGGGGCCGGCAACGUUACUUUGAACAAAUUAAAGUGCUUAAAGCAGGCCAAACUGCCGCUCGUAUAAUACGUGCAUGGAAUAAUCGAAUAGGACCUCUGUUCUAUUUUGUUGGUUUUUGUGGAACGCACAGAGGUAAUGAUCAAUGGGUGCGGAUGGGGGCAUUCGUAUUGCGACGUUAGAGGUGAAAUUCUUGGAUCGUCGCAAGACGCACCAAAGCGAAAGCAUUUGCCAAAAACGCUUUCAUCGAUCAAGAACGAAAGUUAGAGGCUCGAAGGCGAUCAGAUACCGCCCUAGUUCUAACCAUAAACUAUGCCAGCUAGCGAUCCGCCGCAGUUACUACUACGACUCGGCGGGCAGCUCUCGGGAAACCAAAGCUUUUGGGUUCCGGGGGAAGUAUGGUUGCAAAGCUGAAACUUAAAGGAAUUGACGGAAGGGCACUACCAGGAGUGGGGCCUGCGGCUUAAUUUGACUCAACACGGGAAACCUCACCAGGCCCGGACACCGAAAGGAUUGACAGAUUGAGAGCUCUUUCUUGAUUCGGUGGGUGGUGGUGCAUGGCCGUUCGUAGUUGGUGGAGCGAUUUGUCUGGUUAAU
RNAcentral lists this ribosomal RNA (709 nucleotides) under Lamprigera sp. CO1070. RNAcentral describes it as "SSU rRNA". It matches the Rfam family "Eukaryotic small subunit ribosomal RNA", at positions 719 to 1323 of the family's 1831-position model. The record is from RNAcentral. Lineage: Eukaryota; Metazoa; Arthropoda; Insecta; Coleoptera; Lampyridae.